UUUAAUAAACAGAACAUUACAUAGUGUAAAAAUAACAAAAUAGAAUUGUAUUUGGUCUCUCUUUUUAUGUAAUGUUUACCUAAAAUUGUGUAACAGGGACAUAAAUGAGGACUUUGCCUCCUCAUUUUGAAACACCACCGCACACUACUGGUGUGUAGGUGGAGCCUGGUGAUUCUGUGACACUCAGAAUAAAAAGAAAACUACUGAACGAACUAAAAAUAGCAGUCAGAAUGUAAAAUUAUCAUUCUGUAACUCUAGUGUAUAUUAGUUUGUCUGUUGUAAAUCCUGCCCACUUCUUUGCAUUGUCACACAUGCUUCAGUGCUCUGAGAGUGUUUAUAGUGCUGUGAGUUUAACACUUCAUGACUGACACUGUCUAUCAAUAUAACAGACACAGCUAAAAUGACAUUCAUCCUCUUCUUCCUGAUCUUAGGAAUGCAUUUUGAAGAUUCUACAGGACAGGUGACUGUAAUUCAGACUCCCACAGAGAAACAUGUUCAGAACGGACACACAGUCACUCUGACCUGUAAGACCAGCAGCUCCAUUGGACGUCAGUCAGACGGUGCCUGUAAGUCGUGUGUCUUCUGGUACCUUCAGAAACCUGGAGAA
Molecule: long non-coding RNA, 607 nt
Organism: Ctenopharyngodon idella (grass carp)
Lineage: Eukaryota; Metazoa; Chordata; Actinopteri; Cypriniformes; Xenocyprididae
Exons: 2
Source: RefSeq, a predicted model, not a curated record